RNAcentral lists this non-coding RNA (147 nucleotides) under Alexandrium tamarense. Lineage: Eukaryota; Dinophyceae; Gonyaulacales; Pyrocystaceae. The record is from RNAcentral.
AGGAUGGGCGUGCCUUACGGGCACCAGAACACCUGCCGCUGCGGGGACGAGCAUCCAGAGGAGGUCUGUGUACGAAGUACCCCGACAGACUGGUGGCGCUGCGUCCCGCGGGGCCAGGCGGCGGGCGGCGACGGAGCCGGAGCGGUU